RNAcentral lists this ribosomal RNA (241 nucleotides) under uncultured Actinomycetes bacterium. RNAcentral's name for it is "uncultured actinobacterium partial 16S ribosomal RNA". It matches the Rfam family "Bacterial small subunit ribosomal RNA", at positions 28 to 276 of the family's 1533-position model. The record is from RNAcentral. Lineage: Bacteria; Bacillati; Actinomycetota; Actinomycetes.
GACGAACGCUGGCGGCGUGCUUAACACAUGCAAGUGGAGCGACGAACCGGGGCUUGCCCCGGGGCAGAGCCGCGAACGGGUGAGUAACACGUGGGUUACCUGCCCCAAUGACCGGGACAACCCGAGGAAACUCGGGCUAAUACCGGAUGUGGUCUUCGGACGAAAGGAAGCUUCGGCCUCCGCAUUGGGAUGGGCCCGCGGCGCAUUAGCUUGUUGGUGGGGUAACGGCCUACCAAGGCGA